RNAcentral lists this ribosomal RNA (663 nucleotides) under uncultured bacterium. RNAcentral describes it as "bacterial SSU rRNA". It matches the Rfam family "Bacterial small subunit ribosomal RNA", at positions 1 to 662 of the family's 1533-position model. The record is from RNAcentral.
GGCUUAGAGUUUGAUCAUGGCUCAGGACGAACGCUGGCGGCGUGCCUAACACAUGCAAGUCGAACGGAGUAUUUUGGCGGAAGUUUUCGGAUGGAAGCUGAUUUACUUAGUGGCGGACGGGUGAGUAACACGUGAGUAACCUGCCUCUCAGAGGGGGAUAACGUCUUGAAAAGGACGCUAAUACCGCAUGACAUCUCGUGACCGCAUGGUUGUGAGAUCAAAGGAGCAAUCCGCUGAGAGAUGGACUCGCGUCCGAUUAGCCAGUUGGCGGGGUAACGGCCCACCAAAGCAACGAUCGGUAGCCGGACUGAGAGGUUGAACGGCCACAUUGGGACUGAGACACGGCCCAGACUCCUACGGGGGGCGGCAGUGGGGGAUAUUGCACAGUGGGGGAAACCCUGAUGCAGCAACGCCGCGUGAAGGACGAAGGUCUUCGGAUUGUAAACUUUUGUCCUAUGGGAAGAAGAAAGUGACGGUACCAUAGGAGGAAGCUCCGGCUAACUACGUGCCAGCAGCCGCGGUAAUACGUAGGGAGCAAGCGUUGUCCGGAUUUACUGGGUGUAAAGGGUGCGUAGGCGGAAGAGCAAGUCAGUAGUGAAAUCUGGGGGCUUAACCCCCAAACUGCUAUUGAAACUGUUCUUCUUGAGUGGAGUAGAGGUAGGC